This 439-nucleotide ribosomal RNA is filed under the name uncultured bacterium. RNAcentral describes it as "partial 16S ribosomal RNA". It matches the Rfam family "Bacterial small subunit ribosomal RNA", at positions 338 to 795 of the family's 1533-position model. The record is from RNAcentral.
CCUACGGGAGGCAGCAGUGGGGAUAUUUCACAAUGGGGGGAACCCUGAUGCAGCGACGCCGCGUGGGUGAAGAAGCGCCUCGGCGCGUAAAGCCCUGUCAGCAGGGAAGAAAAUGACGGUACCGGAAGAAGAAGCCCCGGCUAACUACGUGCCAGCAGCCGCGGUAAUACGUAGGGGGCAAGCGUUAACCGGAUUUACUGGGUGUAAAGGGGGCGCAGACGGCGAUGCAAGCCAGGAGUGAAAGCCCGGGGCCCAACCCCGGGACUGCACUUGGUACUGGGUGGCUGGAGUGCGGGAGUGGCAGGCGGAAUUCCUGGUGUAGCGGUGAAAUGCGUAGAUAUCAGGAGGAACACCGGCGGCGAAGGCGGCCUGCUGGACCGCGACUGACGUUGAGGCUCGAAAGCGUGGGGAGCGAACAGGAUUAGAUACCCUAGUAGUC